Long non-coding RNA from Sinocyclocheilus rhinocerous, 361 nucleotides. RefSeq lists it as uncharacterized. The record is from RefSeq and is a predicted model, not a curated record. The transcript is spliced from 4 exons. Lineage: Eukaryota; Metazoa; Chordata; Actinopteri; Cypriniformes; Cyprinidae.
ACCACCUGCGUCAAUGUGACCUCAUGUGCCUUGAGGAACGGUGGAUGUGAUCAUACCUGCUCGUUGGGUGCUGAGGGUCGCAUCCAUUGCAGCUGCAGAGCAGGAUGGGAGCUCAGCGCAGACCAAAGAACCUGCAUCGAUGUGGACGAGUGUGUGAGUUUUAACGGCGGCUGUGAGCAGGUGUGUGUGAAUCACGCUGGCGGUUUUAAUUGCAGCUGUCGCUCGGGCUUCGAGUUGCGUAAAGACGACCCGACUAAAUGCCAUCCUCUGUGUGAACCUGCCUGUCUGAACUCUGGAGUGUGUGUCGCUCCGAACACCUGCGACUGUCCGGCGGGAUAUCCGGGACCAGGAUGCUCGGGUA